RNAcentral lists this transfer RNA (90 nucleotides) under Candidatus Harrisonbacteria bacterium CG10_big_fil_rev_8_21_14_0_10_42_17. Its description in RNAcentral is "tRNA-Ser". It matches the Rfam family "tRNA". Rfam says of the family: Transfer RNA (tRNA) molecules are approximately 80 nucleotides in length. Their secondary structure includes four short double-helical elements and three loops (D, anti-codon, and T loops). Lineage: Bacteria; Candidatus Harrisoniibacteriota. The record is from RNAcentral.
GGAGGAGUGGCUGAGCGGUUUAAGGCGCACGCUUGGAAAGCGUGUGAGGGUUCACACCCUCCGCGAGUUCGAAUCUCGCCUCCUCCGCCA